CCAACAGAUGUGGAACCUGCCCUGGGUCAUUUGGCGGUGUGUGUCCAGGGAAAAAAAGAAAAACUCAGGGAGGAGGGUCAUCUGUAAGUCAUUGACUGAGGUUUAGAGACUGUGGCUUAUUCAUUCCUAACCCUAACGUCUAGUCCAAUGACUGGCACAUAUUGCUGAAUACAUGCUUAUUGACUGACUGCAUGAAUCUUACCUAAGGGAAUAGUGAUGCAGGAAUAUGAUGUAGGAAGAUGGCCUUGCAGGAGAAUGACCUUGAACAGAGGCUGACUUUUGCCUCAUCCCAUAUUCAGAUUCUUCUACGUGAGCCAACUGAUGAAGAUUGAAAAAUUCCACACAAUUGAUUAUCUGGAGCCAGGAUGAGGAGACAAAUGAUGCUUUGACUGAAUUCUGCAAGAUCUUUUAAAAUUAAUUCAGUUGCCAGUGGUUUGUGUGUGUAACUGCCAUCUUGGACCCAUGGGGACCAUUCUGAGCCCUAGAUCCAGGCUUUCAGAAGCAAUCUUUUCUAAUUAGAAGAUUUGCAAAGGUCUCCAGAUAAACUUCUUGAUUGACCAAGAUACUCGUGGAAAAUCUCAGUGGACCUAGGCAAACAGAAGGCGUCGAAUCAAGCUAACAAGUGUCCCCUCUGAGCCUGGCUCUGAACGAGGUGUUGCUGAAGAUGCAGAAAAUCAGUGGGCAAUUGUCAAGUGUAGAUUGCCAAUAGCCCUUAAAUAAAAAACAGCCUCGUGUGCACCUUACAAUCUUGACAGUAUACACUCCCAGUGAUAAUGCCAUAUUUGAGAUAGGAAAAGUGUUUGUUUUAUUCAAAUUAAAAUUUAUGAAAUAUUCCAAAUAUGGAAAAAGUAGAGAUUUAUAUCAUAGACACUCAUCUAUUCAUUUUCUUUAUUUAACACAUCUUGAUCUUUCACCAUAGCCUAUUUUUUGUUUUAUUGUUGUUUACCAGCUUUAUUGAAUUACAUUUUAUAUAACAUCAAAUUCACCCAUUUCAAGCGUGCAGUUCAAGAAUUUUAGUAAUUUUACUGAGUGGUACAACCAUCACCAUAAAUCAGUUUU
Molecule: long non-coding RNA, 1059 nt
Organism: Equus asinus (donkey)
Lineage: Eukaryota; Metazoa; Chordata; Mammalia; Perissodactyla; Equidae
Source: Ensembl